UGCCAAUGGCCAGCGCCCAGAGCAGGAGGGGGAGAAGGAACCAAAGUCCCGAAACUCCGCCCGGCUGUCUCCGGAUUGGAUCCAAGUUUGCUUCUGGACAGCUGGGCUGGAAGCUGAGUGGACCAGAAAGGGGGCGUGUCGUCGGAGAGUGUGACCGGCCCCCUCUUCAGUUUGUGGUCCUGUUAGAUGCUGGGUACUUUUGCAGCCGCGGAAGCCUAAGAGACACCACCAGAGGAUGGCAGUGGCAUCUGGAGGAGGAUUGGAGCUAGCUGAAAGGAGUCCUGCCCACUAUCUGCAGAGGGAAGCUAGCAGUGGGGCUGCACCUUGGUAGUCAGGUGCUGGGUGCUGUCUGCCUUUUGCAUGAAGAGGAGAGACUUUUAAAACCGCCUGAAAAUGAAUCCAGAAUGAGUGAGACUCCCUCCAACUGAACAGGAGUUGUCAGGCCAGAGAUGUAUCUGCCAGACAGAGAACAAGAUACAUCAUAGGCAUUGGUGAUGGAAGCUUCCUUAUGCUGCUCACUACAGUCUGUCAACCCUCACCUCAAGGGACUAUGGAAAUGAUCCAAUACAGUGAAAUCAACAGGAGCCUUUCCAUUGAAUUCCAUGGGCACUGGAUCAAACCCUGUAAGUAGGUGUAAGAGGGUAGCUCAUUUCUGUCUCCAUUCAAUCAUUUGUCUCUCUGCUGAGAUUACCAAUAAGGAGGCCAGUUAGUUCCUGUUGUGAUGUAAACAGGAGUCCAUUGCAAAACGGCUGGAGACCAAACAGCUAAUUCUGCGUAGGCCAAAGAGACAUCAGAUGGUAACAAUUUAUGAUUAGUGCUAACUGAAAUUACUUUCAUGUGCAUUGUGUAUUCUGGUAUUAUACAAUUUAGUUCAGUUAAAAGGUCCUUCAUGUAAAGGCAAGUAAUUUUAUUUAUUCUUUUUUAAAUUAGAAAUGACAAAAACCUGCAGACAGAGGCUGGCAGGAAUUUAGCACCUUUAAUAGUGAAGCACACGACAUACAGAGAAGCUAAUGAAAUAUUAUUUACACUUAAUUCCAAAGACAACAAAACAUCCAAACUACAGACAGACUGUGGGCUCGAUGUUUUGUGGCUCCUAUGUUGAUACAUACCAUCUGAUGAUCUUGCCCACAUAUGAAUCCCCUUUAUAGGGUGAUUGCUUUUUGUGAUACAAGCAAGGCUGCAGUGCUACUUGCAGUAAAUAGCUCUCUUUCUUCCAGCCACAAGAAACUGUCACAUCUGCCAACCUUCAGCAGACUGAGCAGGGACUGUUAUUCAUUUUAGUGCCCAACUGCAUUAUAUUUACCCUGGCUAUAAUAUUCUCUAUUACCACUGAAAAUGUUUGGCUCCCAAAGAAAAAAAGAAGGAAUUGUGUCAAAGGUCCAAAUUCCUCCCUGAGAUGUGAAUAAUUUUCAGUGACUUUAAUGGGAGCUGUGCACAUGAAUUUCUAGAUGGAAUCUGACUCCAAAGCCCACCCAUUUAUACUGGAUUUUUUCAGCAGGACUUUUUCAUAUUAGUUUAUUAAACAUACUUUAAUCUCAAUGGGCUGAAUCUUUGGGCCCUCUUGCAUCUGCUUUGGAUGGUGGUGACAUGCAAAGGAACUGAAGAACUGCACUAAAGGGGAGGCUGAGAAUUUCUUCUGACAGGGGAAUCCUCAAGUGGCGCAAACCUGGUGUAGCUGGUUCUAUAUCUUCUGCUCUCCCCCGCCACAUGGGAGCCUGUUGGAGUAGUGUAUGGUGUUCCAUUAGAUCUGCAGCUAUCCUAACUCAGAACAUCUUCAGGCUGUUCCAAGAAACACUAAGGGUUGUUUUGGUCCCUGACUAGGGUGACCAGAUGUCCCAUUUUUAUAUGGACAGUCCUGUUUUUUGGGAUCUUUUCUUAUAUACCCCCCGCCCCCUGUCCCGUUUUUUCACAGUUGCUAUCUGGUCACCCUAUCCCUGACUGGCCUGGAAUCAGGGGUGCAAAAAGGUGACUUAUAGCCACCUCUCUUUCAACUCCAUGGCUACAGUGAGUGCAUGGACAUAGACAAAACUCUAGUCCCCUUUUCCACCCCUCUCCCCACCCCCCAAAAAUAAAAAAGUUGUCUAUGGCUAUGGAGUGUGAACUCGGAGCAUCUGAGGCAUGGAUCCAACUGCUGCUACAUUGGUUGCUAACAUUAUUUGAUAGUUCAGUUGUGUUGAAAACAUGAUUGAAAAGCCUGGGAAGAUAUGGUCUUAAAUGUUCUGUGGACUACAUUCUGAUGCCCUUAUAAUAUUGAGUAACACUUUACCCUGCAAUUAGUCCCAUUGAUUACUAUGAAGCUGCUCAGAGAGUAAGAUACUACUCAAUGUAAAUAAGGUAUCAGAUUCUGGCCCUUUCUGUUUUUGAAUAUAAGUGGUUCCUGUGUUUCCUUAAUUGAUGACUAGUGGCUUCACUGAUGCUUGCUGCAAUCUAGCAUUUGCAUCUCCCAGUGUGCAGAAAAAUAGCAACAUUUUUGUGUUCCUACUUCAUCUCUAAAUCAGUACCACAAUCAUACAAUAUCAUAGCCAAAUGUGGCAGGUGUGGCCUUUCCCAAUUAGGUUGCUUUAGAGAAUUAUUUGUGCAAAAAAGUAAUUGCCUGGUUAACAUUUAAACAAACAUUCAUUUUCUUUGUUCUCUUUCUCCACUUGUUGCAAGUUGUUUCUGUAUAAAUUUAGCUAGAAGUGCUUGUUGUAUUUUAGGGGUGUCAAUAAUGAACAUGACAGAACUUUUGCUGAAUGGAUCAGCUUAUAUAGAUGGGAAGAUGGGAAAGUUUCUGGUGACCUAAGGAAAAUAUUUACUGUUGGUAGCACUGCAGUAUUUUGAAUAUCAAGUACCACUCUCCAUUUCUGGGUAUACAUGCUGCAGGUAAAAUAAAGUUGUUUUGCUUCUGGAAAGUGCAGUUUCAUAAAUGCACUUAACUACCCAUAACAAAUGUCCUGUUAUUUGUGCUUUCAGCAAAAAUAUACAGUAGAGUAGUUGGAUAAUAAAUAGCAUCGUUUACCGCCACUCUAGAUUUCAUCACAAUAGUCAUGAUUGUUACCUUUCUUUCAGUUUCUAUGAAUACUGUUUGUUGUAAUCUCAUGAGUUUGGUUUUCUGUUUAACUAUUACUUGUUUACUCGUCUUCAGGAGAAGAAUUAUUCUAACAAUCCUUCUUGAGUAUUUACCAGCAUCUAUCUCCUACUAGUAUUAAGUAAGUUAUUAAUAAGUAAGAGAAGCUGCACAUUAUCUACAAUACCCUUCCACUGUUAGCCCACACAGAACAGGAGUUGUGUAAAAAGAGAUGAACAAUACUUAGAACUUAGAGUAAUGUAUAUCUUCAAAAUACUAUUAUGUAAAUAACCAACAACACUAUGAAAUACAUACGUUUAUGCCCAUUUUAGAGAUGGAGAAAGGCAGGCUGAAGGGGUUAAGAGACUUCCAUAGAAUAUCAGGGUUGGAAGUCAUCUAGUCCAACUCCCUGCUCAAAGCAGGACCAAUCCCCAACUAAAUCGGAGGUGUCUUGGUUCCAGGCCUGGGCUUAAAUCAUGCAGGUUGUUUAGCCUCUCAUAGGGAGUGAGAUCCUUCAAUAAGAAUUUAUCCCAAACACCUUGACUCUCAAUUAUGCUAAGCCUGAGUACGCCUCUCUGGCAGGAGGCCAGAAACAGAUCCCUGAAAAUAAUCCCUGCACAGAGGGCCUCCCAGCUGGUGUAGAACUGGCACCCAGGCUCCAGCACUGCUUCCAGACCCCAGUGGAUGAGAUUGGAGUGCACUGCACUAUGGCUACUAUCUACUUCCAAAGGGAUCAAAAGAAGCAGGCCUUGAAUGAGAGCAGCUCUAAAGCGUUUCUAAUUUAGCACCAGGGCUAAACAGGCUCCAGAUUGGGGAAGCAUAUGCUUCUGUCCCUGUCCCAAGUACAGGAACAGAGUAACUGAAAAUCAGGCCUGUAUCUCCAGCUAUGGAAUGGAUUCUCCAGUGAAUGCAUAUUACUCACACCUACUCCUUAUGCACACACACACACUCUAUUUACUUUGCUUCUUAAGGAAAUAUAGCCCUCCGCUUCUUCCUUAAACAAAUUAUACCUCUACCAAAAGCCUCCUGUACCAGUCUGAUUGUUUGAGGAUAUGAAUCCUGUGACGUUGUGCAAUCUAUAUGGUUUUAUAAAAACAUAAGUGAAUAUAAUGUAACUG
Molecule: long non-coding RNA, 4164 nt
Organism: Chrysemys picta bellii (western painted turtle)
Lineage: Eukaryota; Metazoa; Chordata; Testudines; Emydidae
Source: RefSeq, a predicted model, not a curated record